CUUGGGCCUAGGCCUCGCUUCCUCUCCUGACCACAUCCUGCAGCUCACAGCCAGAGGCAGGUGCAGAAGGGGCACUGUCCUCUAUUGGCCUCAGCCUCUGUGGACCAGAUCCCUCUCAACUGAUCGGGUGCAGGCUGGGCUGCAGGCGGGUAGUUAGUGAGUGCCUGAGAUGUGCAGGCAUGCUCCAGGCACUGGGAACACAGCCUUGAACCAACAGACAAAACCGUCUGCAUGCAUGGAGCUUGCAUCCUGACAGGAGGGACAAGCAAGAAACGAAGAAAUAAAUCGACAGCAUUCCAUUAGUUAGCACCUAGAUAAAAGAGAUAUACCUAUAGUGUUCAAAGCUUGAGCUAUGAGAAAUAAAAGAGCAAAAGAUCGUUUUCAUCAAAAGGACUAUGAAGCAUGUUAUGUUUUACUUAACAAAACCAGUGCUAACCAUGUUACAUCCUCCAGACUUGAAGUGUGUGGGUGUGUUUAACAGACACAAUUUUACCUUUUUUUCCCUUUUAAGUUAUCCGUCAACAUUUUUCAGUCUCUCUUUAAAGAGCAUCUUAAAUUUGCAUAAUAGUCAUUCAUCUUAAUAAAAACAUUACACUGUUGUUGGA
This 605-nucleotide long non-coding RNA is filed under the name Homo sapiens (human). RNAcentral describes it as "HSALNT0297414". Lineage: Eukaryota; Metazoa; Chordata; Mammalia; Primates; Hominidae. The record is from RNAcentral.